Molecule: long non-coding RNA, 7172 nt
Organism: Panthera uncia (snow leopard)
Lineage: Eukaryota; Metazoa; Chordata; Mammalia; Carnivora; Felidae
Exons: 3
Source: RefSeq, a predicted model, not a curated record
AAUAUGAAUUGUACACCUAUUUGAUAGGUUGUUCGUUUUAAAUUUGCUAGUAAGAUGAUGGUUUAAGUAUAAGUUGAGUUUGUGGUGAUGUCACAGCAUCUAAAUGGAAAUAUUCAUACACACACGUAAGGGAAGGAUGUCAAGAAGGGACAGAGUGGGCUGAACUAUCCCAGAUUGGAUUUGUGAUGUAUGAGAAAUCUGCCUUUAAUGUGAACAUAUCUUCAUCAUGGCAGGAUACUCUCCUAUUGGAGGCCUUCCAAGACCCUUAAUGAAGCCCCACCUCUAAGGAUAGUUGUACAAUUAGGAGUGUUAGUGACUAACCUAUGAGCAAUGAGCAAAUCAUGGGCAGAUAAUGUUUUGUGUACAAAAUUUUUUCCAUCCAGACUAAACCACUGAUGUAAACUCUAGAACCCUCUCCCAUGUCCCACAAGGGAUUUUGCACUAAGAUUCAGCACUAAGGGGAUUAUUGGUGACCUCAGAAACAGCAAUUACUUGCAUGUUUGUUGCAGGGACAGAUCACUAUGAAGCAGAGAGAAUGUGAAGGAUGGAGGUAGAAAAAACAGGUGAAGACAAUUCACUCAAACAGUUUGGCUGAGAAGGAAGAAAGACAUGGUAGCAGCUAGAGAUGAAAAGAAAUACAUGAAGGACUUCAUUUUUAUUUCCAAAUGAUUUUGAUGGUGGUUAUCGGUAUAUGUGUUUUAAAAUAGAAGAGAAUUCACAAGAGCCAGUAGAAGGAAGAAGUUGAAGAUGAAAACGAGAGGUUAAGGGAUGGAAUGAAUCUUCACAAGAGGCAAAAUCCAGAGCGGGAAGAAUUGAGUACAGGUAUUCAUAGCAUGCCAACAGCAUAUAGGACACAAAUCAUAAAGGAAACAGAAUCCCUGCUCAGUAAAGUGUUGCCUUAAUAAGAGGGAACCCUGGUGCAGCAUGCAAAGCACCCCUGCCCCUGUCUCCCAAGGAAGGAGCGUCUGUCCACCAGGGAGUGGGACAUGCAGGCAAGUUGUUAAGGCUUCCCAUUUCCUGAUAGCUGUUUGCUGAACCUUUACUCUCGGCUAAGGACCCGGUAAGUGAUUCUUUUGCAUUAUUCAUUUUAAUUCUCCCUAAGUAUAAUGAAUUAGGCAUCAGUAUUUCCAUUUUUAAGAUUUAGAAAACAAUACCAGCAACUAUACCCCAACAUGAAUAAACUGAGAUUUGGAGAGCUAAGUGGUGUGCCUUCCAGCACACAGCUACUGUGACACCAGGACUCUAAUUCAGAACUUCACAUGUGUCCUGUUCCGUGGGUAGGCCACCCUCAACACUUCUGCAUCUACUCUCUUAAAUGUUGGGCACUCUGGGACCAUUACUAGGUUUUACGCUCCUUCACAGGCAAGACCCAUGUCUUAUUAACCUUACUUCUUUUAUACUAGCGAUCUGUACACAGUAGAAGUUAAAUAAUUUUAGUAAAGUGAACUGUACAUAGUAGAAAUUCAAUAAUUGCUAAAUUAAUUUUUAUAAAUGUGGUUUUACUAUUUUAUUCCUAGAUCUUUGUAAACCUUAAAUAAGCAUCUUGGUAUUCUAAUCAAAUUUGACAGAGGUGGGUAAUAUAAUCAUUCAUUUUAUAUCUCCAUUUCUACAGCUCUUUCAAUAUUAGAGAAGAAAUCCUAAGUUAGACAGAAGCAUUUCAAGCUUUAGAAGCAUAAGAAAAUUACAAGUACAGUUUUUUAUUUAUUGAGCACUUCCUACUUACCAGGCACAGCUAAAGCAGCUUCACUACCUUAACUCUGCAUAGCAGUUAAAAGCACAGACUCAAGGCGUGCCUGGGUGGCUCAGUCAGUUAAGUGUCCGACGCCGGCUCAGGUCAUGAUCUCCCAGUUCAUGAGUUCGAGCCCCACGUCAUGCUCCAUGCCGACAGCUCAGAGCCCAGAGCCUGCUUCAGAUCUGUGUGUCCCUCUCUCUCUGCCCCUCCCCCACUUAGACUGUUUCUCUCUCAAGAAAUAAACAUUAAAAAAAUUAAAAAAAAAAAAAAGGCACAGACUCAAAAACCAGAUAGACUGCCUUCAAGUUCUCCUACCAUUUACUAGCUGUGUUUCUUUGGGCAAAUUAUCAGACCUCCCUCUGUCUGAGAUACACAGUAGGUACUAUAUAUAUAUAUUUUGCUUUUUACUAGCUUGUUCAAUGUUUCCAAAAUCACCCAUUAAAACCUAUCUCCCUCUUCUUCGUUUAGUUAAUUUUAAAAUCAAGGAGAAUGUAGUGUUUUUUGAAAUUUCCUCAAAAGUAAUAUACGUCUACAUUUCAAACUAUUCACAAAAAAUCAAGAGCUAGACACCAGAGUGUUUUUUCCCUCUGAUACCAUAAUAGAUUUUUAAUACAACUUAAAUCAUAAUUAAAUACCCAAAUGAAUAUGUUGCCCUAAAUGUACAAUCACACUUGUAAGAAACAGUCACUACCCAUGGAAACCUCAUUCAAAGGCAAACACCAAGCUGAAAAGACUGCAAUUGCAGGCUGAUGGUUCCGAAUCCACUCAGCUGAUGCCCGAACCACUUAAAGGAGUGGGUCUGAAUUUUUAGGGGUGAUUGCUAAAGGUGAAUAUUUGGGCAAUAAAGAAUCAGGAGCAAUUCCAAGCCUCUUCCUCAGUAAAGCCAGGAAAGCUUCUUAGAAAAGAAAGGUUUAGGCAGUUAUCCCCAUAUGAAAAGAUAUAAAAGAGGCAGAAGAUUUCAAAUAGACAUUAUAAAAUUUCUUAAUAACAGGAAUUACUAUGUACUCCCACAGUACAGCUCACCCCUGGGCCAGUAUUAAAACCUACUAACACAUUCAUUUUGGACCCAUCAUAAGCAGUUUUGGGAAAUCAGAAGCCCAUUUUCAAUGUAAGCCCCAUCUAUACAGGACUACUCUGCUAGCCGUUUAGACUAAAUUGACAGGUUGAUUCAAAAGGGGAAAUAGACUAAAUUGACAGGUUGAUUCAAAAGGGGAAAAAUAUGGAAAUAACAUUUGCCUCUGAACUGACCAAGCAUGUGAUUGAAGUAACCAAGUCCACAGGUUGUUUCUCUGAAUCGCAUAGAAAAAGCUUGAAUGAAGUAGCCCAUAACUUGUGAGUAGAUGGAUAAAAUCAAACCUUAGCACAUACCCCAUGGGCAUACCUUCGGUUAGAAGUCACAGAAAGGAACAGUCUGAAUCCCUUUGGAAACUCAUGUCACACUAAGGUCUGUCAGAGCUCCCAUUAGGGGGUUCAACUGGCACUGGUCGAACUAUUAGGGAUCCUUACAUAGGUAAGAGAAGCUGGGAGUUGGUAAAACUGUCCGGGAUCAGGUGAUAUUUAUUGCUCUCAGCAUCCUCCAUUUCCUUAUUCACCAAAUAAGGAAGUAUCAAGAGACUGCACUAGUGGAUGACCGAUGAUCUAAAAUAUUUUGUCUUCCCUUUUCCCCUAGAUCAGUAGUCCUCAAAUUUUAGUGCCUAAGAAUCAUUGUGUGUUCGGUUAGAUGCAGAAUCCCAGGCCUCCUAAGAUUCAGUAUGUCCAGGCUAGGGUUCAGAAAUCAAUAUUCUUAAUAAGCGCCUUAGGUGAUUCUGCUGAGGGGGGCAGUCUUGAGCCUAUGCUUUAAGAAACUCUGCCCUGGCUCUGUGUGGGAUUUGCCUGUUCAAUUGAUCCUGGAUAUAAAGCGAAAUAUAAGAGGAUGAUGAAAGCUAGGAAGAAAGAAGACCCCCGGGGACAAUCAGAGCCAAAGACACAGUCACAGUGGCCAGUUGAUUUGGCCAGAUGAUGGGGAGGCUGGAAGUGGGGGCAGGUGGAGGGGGCACUGAGAAAUACUGCAAUGGGAAGAGGCAGUUUCUCUGUCAUCGAAGCUCUGUUGUGGAUGCCUCUAUUCUGCAUCCAAGUCUUAGUUUCUGUGUCCUCCAUGCGGGCAUCACAACGUAAAUAAAAAUCUCCUAAUAAUCUGCAAGCAAAACUACUCUCUCAAGUUCCCCCCAGGACCUUCCAAAAGGCUAAAAGUCCUGAGAAGGGCUUCCCGGGACCAAUAACAUCUUCAUCAUUGAUUUCAUGAGAGAAACAUUAAGUAGAAAUUAGAUCUUGCUCAUAAUGUGCAAAUUUUGCCAUUAAACAUUUGUAGCUUCACAGGGAAUUUUCCCUUUGGUUAUAUAGCAGUGGGGCUGUUUUUCUCAUGUGUUAAGUAAAAACAUUUGCAUCAUCUCACUUUCCUGGCUCCAUCUCAAUGACAGAUAUUUAGCGAAAGCAAAUAAGGCUUCACCAUAUUUUCUUUUAGUAAUUAAGGACCUGUUAAGUUUGUCAAUUUAGAAAACUUUUUGGAUUCCUGUCUAAAAUCUCAUGACAUAUUCAUUUAAACUAAAAGCAGAUGCUUGCUUUGAAAAAGUAUUGACAUUUUGGGAGAAUUUAGGAAAUGCCAGCAACAGAAAUAAAUGGAAUUGGCAAUCCACUUGGCAGCAGUAAAAUUUCCCAUUAACCACCGUGUGAACUUGGGAGUGCUGGGGAGCUCCCUUAAUUACUAUUCCAUUGUUGGAGUGUUGUGUUGUUGUUGUGUCCCAAAAUGAUGUCUCUCACAAAGGAAAAAGAUGAUUUUUUUUAGGGUUGGGGGGAACAUAUAGACUUGACCAGCUCUUCUGAAAAACUGAAUUGUAAAAGUCAAGUUGUAAAUGUCUGAUAGAUGAUCUUUUCAAUGCAUACAUUUUUCUAUGGUUCUACUAUUGGUAUUUUCUAUGGUUCUAUUGGAUCUUACUUUAUGCAGCCUCUUUUAUGUUCAGGUUUACUGAGCACAUCUCUAGGCAAUGCCCUGGAAAUAUAGUAUCUAGUUUACUGGUGGUCACGCUAAUAGUUCUACAUAAAAACGUGAGUUUUUAUGGAAGCCACACAGGAAAACUGUCUGGAGAAUAGAUUCAUAUUAUGUGGUGAUGAAGAAUGAAUUUUUUUUUCAAUUCAAAACUAUGAUCACUAUAAUUAGCAUUCAGAGAGUAGAUCACCUGUACCUCACACCCUCCGCAACACAGGUGGGUUUGCAGGAUUAGAUUGAGGUCAAUGCAGCCACAACUGGGAGGCAGUUAGGAUGCCCACGCUGUGCGGUGCGAGUGGUCAAUCUUUGGUUGCCUUUAACACCUCUCUCCACAGCUAAAAACUGAGGAACAGAAUGGUGGAAAGUUCUGACGCUAUCUAGUUACAGAGCAGCAGAGAUGGAGACACAGUUCACAUCAAAGACCUCAUGCAGGAGCUGGCACAGCGUAGGUCUUGAGGAAAUGUUCAUCUGGGAUCCCUCCCCUUUCACUGCUAUAGAAGGCUCUUGAUGUCUUGACCAGCUCCAUGGGGUGGCUGCCCUGAACCCCAAAGCAGGAUGACUGCCCCAUCGUGCCCCUGCUCCCGCACAUACGGAGCCAGUUCUGUGCCACGAGUGCACGAAGGUGAGUAGGAAGUGAAGGGAAAUACUCCUAAGCCAGCAUCACUUCGGAGCUCACACAAUAUCUCUGCUAAGCCCUUCCAUGAUUUGAAGGAAUGCAUAGAAACAAUGCUCCCAGUGUGGUAUCUGGAGAAGAAGACAGCUGAGUAUAGCCUGAUUUAGCCAGGAUUCACUUACCCCAUAGACAAGGGGUCACUGUGAUGAUGCAAUUGAUGAAUGCACAUUCCUGGUUUUAGGCUCAGGCUGAUUGCUGUCUAAAUCCCAGCUCUGCCCUCAUUAGCUGUAGGACCUGGAUUAGAUGUUCUACCGCCACGAGCCUCAGUGGCGAAACCUGUGAAAUGUGCACACGGAUCCCUCCCCCCCAGGCUCCUGUUAGGGUGCAGUAAAGGCACACAGGCUUGGAGAAGUGUCUGGCACAAGGGCAGAUGCAAUAAAUGUUAGCUCUACUUGCUCAACGUUUUGGCCAGAUUCCCAUCUGGAAUUGCCACCGGAUGCCUCACAAUUUACUUCUCAGCACAAACAGAAUGCUGUCCCAGUGCUUCUACUCCAUCUGAAGAGAAAAGGGACUUGCAAGUUCCUUUCUGGUCUUUCUCUUCCCCUGCACUGAAGAGAUCAGAAACUUGGAGUCAUAGUUAAAACCACAGAUUCUUGCAGCUACAGAGAUUUACGGGAUCGCCUGCUCCCACCCCUUAUUUCAAAAAGGAGACUGAGUCUCAAGGAGGUUGAAUAUUGCCCAAAGCUGUUCAAUUGCAGGGGUGGAAAAUGCGUUAUCUACUUCUGAUUCAUUAUUAAUUUUAUACCAAGAAGCUGAGCUUCAAAUUGGCAGUGGGAAAUUAUGUCCCUGGGCUAAUAAUUAAUAAUAGCUAAAACUUAUUUCGUCUUCAUGGGGGUCUAGGUCCUAUGUUAAGUACUUAUAUGCAUUCUCAUGUUUAGUACUCAUGAAAACAAGUCACAGUAUUAUUUCCACUUUGUGAGUGAGUAAUUAGAGGCAGCGAAAAAUAAAAUUGUUUUCCCAAGGUCACACACUGCUACACGGUGUAUAGAUCCAAACUCACUAAAUUCUACAGCUCCUGGUCCUGAGGAGAGAUGCAGACACAGCGUGACAGAUGUAACAGAAAGUGCUGGCUACUGAGUUCCCACUUCACAGAGCUUACUGCUCCCAACCCUGGCAGCCCGGUUCCGUCUGUAAUGGGAGAGUGAUAGUGCCUGUCCCCUGCCCACCCUGAGCGGGCAGGUGUGUGAGGCCUGAGGAAGAGCUUAGUAAUUCAUCAUUCAAGUGUCAGUUUUUCACAGGCUAGUCACCUGUUGGAGGAGAGGUAGCAGAAAGGUUGGGGGCAGAGAGCCCUGCAAUGCUUCCCGGCAGACAGGUGGUACCGUAUGAAAGCAGCAGGCUGGGUCCUCGAGGGAGGGGAACACGGGAGGAAGACUCUAAGGCAAGCUUCAUGCCCCCAUGGAGCUUCCUGGCCUGACCCUGCAGGCCACAGAUAAGUAGAGAACAUGCAUAUUCCUCUUUCUGCCCUUCGUGUUUCCCCUCCUGGUUGACACAGGGCUAAAGAUAGACUUGAAAGCCUCUGAUGAUCUUUAACAACUCACAUCCCAAAUUUAGCCUCGGUGUCAGGACAAAAUUGAUCUACUGGAUUUAAGAUAAAAAAAUUGAGAUGUUUGGUCCCCUAAGGUAACACAAUGCAUGCUAGGAGAAAUUUCCAAUGGUUACCCUCAUUUCCCUCUUUUUCGAAAGUUUUUUUUUAACUUUUACAAAUGUUUAUUCAUUUUUGGGGAGAGAGAGAGAGAGAGAGAUAG